CCGCCUUGGCGGCGCCCCGGCCUCUCCCAGCGCGCCCGGGGGCCGCUAGCCGGCGCUGGGCCUAGCCUGGAGCCACGGGGGGGGGAAGCCUCCCGCCACCUCCUGCCCCGAGGUGCAGCCGCUGUGGGACGCAGCUAAUCCCGGGACCCACCCAACACCCUCCGGCCAGAGCCCCCGUGGGCUAGCGCCCCCCCGGUGCGCCUCAGAUCCAGCAAACAGACAGGACCUUCUGUCCAAGGAGGCCCCAACCCUUCCGAAAGGGUUGGAAAGACGGAUGGGUGACUUCUGAUGAGCAAGAGCAUAUGAAGGCAGAAUUUGGUUUGGCCCUUAAUGUGAAGAAGAAUGUAUGUGUUCCAAGCAUAAAGGCUCCAACUUAGACAUAGGGGUUAUGAACAUCCAUCAUCUGCAAUGUCUACAACUUCGAAGUCAUGUGCUGCAACCACCAGCAGUACCGCAACUGAAUAUACUUCAGAGAGUAUUACCUCUAUCAAAAGAAAGACUUUCCUCAUCAUCCAGUAAAACCAUGGAUGAGUUUGUAAUCAGGACCAGCAGAUUCCAGCAAGACUCCAUCGAUGAAAAGACCGCUCAGUUAAUUUAUUCAACAAAUUCAACCUUUCAUCUUGUUCAGAGCAAAUAUUUCAUUUGCAUGAUUCAAUCAUUAUGACCAGGCUACACAUCAUCCGGCAGAGCAGACAUUGCUGGAAAGUUGCUGGAUACAGUGUGUGAGAAGGAAACUGAACAAUGUGCAAAAAACAUUGGUGGGAAAUUCAUUAUUUUUAGUCUUGAUGGGUGGAAA
This is a long non-coding RNA of Malaclemys terrapin pileata, 796 nucleotides long. RefSeq lists it as uncharacterized. The record is from RefSeq and is a predicted model, not a curated record. The transcript is spliced from 4 exons. NCBI's taxonomy places the organism in Eukaryota, Metazoa, Chordata, Testudines, Emydidae.